CCUACGGGAGGCAGCAGUGGGGAAUAUUGGACAAUGGGGGGAACCCUGAUCCAGCCAUGCCGCGUGUGUGAAGAAGGCCCUCGGGUUGUAAAGCACUUUCAGUGAGGAAGAACGCCUGGUGGUUAAUACCCAUCAGGAAAGACAUCACUCACAGAAGAAGCACCGGCUAACUCCGUGCCAGCAGCCGCGGUAAUACGGAGGGUGCGAGCGUUAAUCGGAAUUACUGGGCGUAAAGCGCGCGUAGGUGGCUUGAUAAGCCGGUUGUGAAAGCCCCGGGCUCAACCUGAGAACGGCAUCCGGAACUGUCAAGCUAGAGUGCAGGAGAGGAAGGUAGAAUUCCCGGUGUAGCGGUGAAAUGCGUAGAGAUCGGGAGGAAUACCAGUGGCGAAGGCGGCCUUCUGGACUGACACUGACACUGAGGUGCGAAAGCGUGGGUAGCAAACAGGAUUAGAUACCCUAGUAGUC
RNAcentral lists this ribosomal RNA (465 nucleotides) under Vreelandella stevensii. RNAcentral's name for it is "partial 16S ribosomal RNA". It matches the Rfam family "Bacterial small subunit ribosomal RNA", at positions 338 to 795 of the family's 1533-position model. The record is from RNAcentral. Lineage: Bacteria; Pseudomonadati; Pseudomonadota; Gammaproteobacteria; Oceanospirillales; Halomonadaceae.